UUCCAGUAUUACUAACAAAAGAAAAACAACAAUUUGAGUACAACGUCACAUCUACAACUAUAUCAACGCACGUUUGCAUGAGGAUGUGUAAUUGUUUUCGUCACUGACAAGGAUCGGAGUACAUGCAAAGUCUGCUGAAUGAAAAUGAAAUGAAUUAAAAUAAAGUCAGUUUGAAAUAGGGGGGAGAGAGAGAGGAUGGAAACCCAGCAAAGUACCAACUAGGGAAGUGGCUAACACAGUUAAACAUGCAACAGAUUGCUGAAGACAGGAGAUAGCAAGUUCACUCACCCACCUGAAUAAUGCAAAGAGGGAUUGCAAGACCACUAGAUACUCAACCUUUAACCAUAAAAAACUCAAUGCCACAUGGCGGAGAACACAGAUCUUUUGUACAAAAGAUCCUCUCGACAAUCAGUUUUGAUAUCUUUUCUGAUUGCAUAUAUUUCUAUUACUGCUGGCUCAAACUUCCAUUCACUUAAACUUAAUUAUUUAUACAAAAGUUGAUUUCACAAAUUGUUUUUGGUCAUUUAAAGAGGAAUGAGAUGCUUAUAGCUAACCAUGGAGGGCAAAUAGCAGCACACAAAAUAUUCCUCAAGGAUAGAAAGCUCUCAUAAAAUGAUUACUAUUUGCCUAUAUUUUGGUGGACUCCCUUAGAAAUCCUAAUUCUCCAAAGAAAAG
This 675-nucleotide unclassified non-coding RNA is filed under the name Hevea brasiliensis (rubber tree). The record is from RNAcentral. Lineage: Eukaryota; Viridiplantae; Streptophyta; Magnoliopsida; Malpighiales; Euphorbiaceae.